Molecule: long non-coding RNA, 685 nt
Organism: Carassius gibelio (silver crucian carp)
Lineage: Eukaryota; Metazoa; Chordata; Actinopteri; Cypriniformes; Cyprinidae
Exons: 3
Source: RefSeq, a predicted model, not a curated record
AACACAAGUACAGUUGACUAAUUUAAUAAGCAUAUAAGAAAGAAGAAUCUAAAAGCACUAUGGCAUGAAUAUUCAGUGCAGUGAAACUUCUUUAAUAGAAAGAAAUUAACACCAUAAACUUGCCAGACUACACAGAAUCUGUACAAUACCAAGUUAUUUACAUGCUGAAGGUCUGGAAGGUUUUUAUUAGCUAAUCUUUUUAUCUGCAAACAGUAUGUGAACAUAGCAUCCAGUUUUCCUCAAGCUGUGUAAAUAUUGUUGCCGUCUCCACCUGUUUGUAUGGCCUAGUUAGUUAUUACAGCCAUUUGUCAUUCAGGAAAACACAGCAGCAGAUGGUUUUCUGGAACACAGGAUCCUUAACUCACUCUUUGAGAUUGUCACACUCCUCCUCUAGUCUGGCCUUGUCUUUACUGACCACAAGCAACUGUGAUUCUCUCUUCUCCAGUCGACUAGAGAGCUCCUCGAUAAUCUGAUUUUCCACAAAGAUAUUAAGGAGCUGUGAACUGUUUUCAACAUUGAUAAUAGAAGAUGACGGAAUGUUUCUUGAGCACCAUGUUUCCUCCGGCACAGCGCGAGAACUACUUCCCAUCCACGUAGCAUCAACAAAGCUGUAUCAACCUUUCCUGUACGUGACGUCAAGGGCUGCGUCACAAGUGUCUGCAGUACAAUUUAUUUUUUAAAUUAU